RNAcentral lists this non-coding RNA (782 nucleotides) under Typhlodessus monteithi. Lineage: Eukaryota; Metazoa; Arthropoda; Insecta; Coleoptera; Dytiscidae. The record is from RNAcentral.
AUAAAGUUUAAUUUUAGUUUGAAGAAUUGUUUAGUUUUUUAUUUACAUGUAAAUUUUAGUAAGAAUUUGAAAUAAAUUUAGAAAAUUUAUUUUAAUUUUUUAUUCGCAGUAUAAAAAUUUAUUAAUUUAAGAGAUUAGGAAUUAUAAAUAAACUUUAAUAUUAACAAAAUUUGUGCCAGCAGUUGCGGUUAUACAAAAAAUAUAAAUAAUUUGUAUUGGUUUAUAAUAAGAUUAUUUUUUUUAAUAAAUAUAGAAUUUAUAAGGUGAAAUUUUAAAUUUAAAAUAAUUAUAUGGAAAAGUUAUUGAUAUUAUGAAAUUUUAGGUUUAGACUAGGAUUAGAUACCCUAUUAUUUAGAAUGUAAAUUUAAAAUCAAAGUAGUAGUAGAUAUGAUCUUAAAAUUUAAAGAUUUUGGCAGUAUUUUAGUCUAUUCAGAGGAACCUGUUCUAUAAUUGAUAGUCCACAAUAAAUUAUACUUAAUUUUGAAAUUUGUAUAUCGUCGUUAUUAAAUAUUUUAAAAGAAUGAGAAUGUUUAAGAUUUUAAAUUUAAUAAUAUAUCAGAUCAAGGUGCAGUUUAUUAUUAAGGAGAAAUGGGUUACAAUAAAUUUAUUUAUAAUGAAUUUAUAUAUAAAAAUUUAUAAUGAAAGAGGAUUUGAUAGUAAUAAAAUUUAGAUUAAUUUUUUGAUUAAAGCUCUAAAAUGUGUACAUAUUGCCCGUCGCUUUUAUUAUAAAAUAAAAUAAGUCGUAACAAAGUAGAUGUACUGGAAAGUGUAUCUAGAAAGGC